GACGAACGCUGGCGGCGUGCUUAACACAUGCAAGUCGAACGCUGAAGCUUGGGUGCUUGCAUCUGGGUGGAUGAGUGGCGAACGGGUGAGUAAUACGUGAGUAACCUGCCCUUGACUCUGGGAUAAGCCUGGGAAACUGGGUCUAAUACUGGAUACUACACUCUCUCGCAUGGGGGUGUGUGGAAAGGGUUUUACUGGUUUUGGAUGGGCUCACGGCCUAUCAGCUUGUUGGUGGGGUAAUGGCCUGCCAAGGCGACGACGGGUAGCCGGCCUCGGCGGGUGACCGUCCACACUGGGACCGGGACACGGCCCAGACUCCUACGGGAGGCAGCAGUGGGGAAUAUUGCACAAUGGGCGAAAGCCUGAUGCAGCGACGCCGCGUGAGGCAUGACGGCCUUCGGGUUGUAAACCUCUUUCAGCACGGAAGAAGCGAAAGUGACGGUACGUGCAGAAGAAGCGCCGGCUAACUACGUGCCAGCAGCCGCGGUAA
RNAcentral lists this ribosomal RNA (490 nucleotides) under uncultured bacterium. Its description in RNAcentral is "partial 16S ribosomal RNA". It matches the Rfam family "Bacterial small subunit ribosomal RNA", at positions 28 to 523 of the family's 1533-position model. The record is from RNAcentral.